Octopus sinensis (East Asian common octopus) is the source of this 161-nucleotide long non-coding RNA. RefSeq lists it as uncharacterized. The transcript is spliced from 3 exons. NCBI's taxonomy places the organism in Eukaryota, Metazoa, Mollusca, Cephalopoda, Octopoda, Octopodidae. The record is from RefSeq and is a predicted model, not a curated record.
GAAGUGUUUUAAUCAUAAUACAAUCACGGCUAAGUAUAAUCAAGGAAUACUCUAUCAACAUCCAAAGUAAAACUUAUAUAACCGACGACUUAGAAACCUUCACAAAGAUGUUGCGUAAUGGGAAGACACCAGCGAAGCAUUUAACAGCUUAUUCUGUGGAA